GUCUGUGGCCAUACUACCCUGGACGUGCGAGCUAAGCAAGGGUGGGCUUGGCUAGUACUUGGAUGGGAGAGAUGAAGAAAGCCCAGGGACUGCAAGCC
Molecule: ribosomal RNA, 98 nt
Organism: Dipodomys ordii (Ord's kangaroo rat)
Lineage: Eukaryota; Metazoa; Chordata; Mammalia; Rodentia; Heteromyidae
Source: Ensembl